AGGCUUUCGGGUCGUAAAACUCUGUUGUUAGGGAAGAACAAGUACGAGAGUAACUGCUCGUACCUUGACGGUACCUAACCAGAAAGCCACGGCUAACUACGUGCCAGCAGCCGCGGUAAUACGUAGGUGGCAAGCGUUAUCCGGAAUUAUUGGGCGUAAAGCGCGCGCAGGCGGUUUCUUAAGUCUGAUGUGAAAGCCCACGGCUCAACCGUGGAGGGUCAUUGGAAACUGGGGAACUUGAGUGCAGAAGAGAAAAGCGGAAUUCCACGUGUAGCGGUGAAAUGCGUAGAGAUGUGGAGGAACACCAGUGGCGAAGGCGGCUUUUUGGUCUGUAACUGACGCUGAGGCGCGAAAGCGUGGGGAGCAAACAGGAUUAGAUACCCUGGUAGUCCACGCCGUAAACGAUGAGUGCUAAGUGUUAGAGGGUUUCCGCCCUUUAGUGCUGCAGCUAACGCAUUAAGCACUCCGCCUGGGGAGUACGGUCGCAAGACUGAAACUCAAAGGAAUUGACGGGGGCCCGCACAAGC
Molecule: ribosomal RNA, 527 nt
Filed under: Bacillus sp. (in: firmicutes)
Lineage: Bacteria; Bacillati; Bacillota; Bacilli; Caryophanales; Bacillaceae
Description: bacterial SSU rRNA
Rfam family: Bacterial small subunit ribosomal RNA
Source: RNAcentral